UGGUCUGUGAUGAGUAGCCCACUGCGCAAUCCGAGUUCUUUGGAACUUCAUGAUGGAAUCUGUGCUAGCAAAGGCUUCUGAGACCA
Molecule: small nucleolar RNA, 86 nt
Filed under: Salvator merianae (Argentine black and white tegu)
Lineage: Eukaryota; Metazoa; Chordata; Lepidosauria; Squamata; Teiidae
Description: small Cajal body-specific RNA 18 (ENSSMRG00000016577.1)
Rfam family: small Cajal body-specific RNA 18
About the family: scaRNAs are a specific class of small nuclear RNAs which localise to the Cajal bodies and guide the modification of RNA polymerase II transcribed spliceosomal RNAs U1, U2, U4, U5 and U12.
Source: Rfam by way of RNAcentral